This 492-nucleotide ribosomal RNA is filed under the name uncultured bacterium. RNAcentral's name for it is "partial 16S ribosomal RNA". It matches the Rfam family "Bacterial small subunit ribosomal RNA", at positions 29 to 507 of the family's 1533-position model. The record is from RNAcentral.
AGUGAACGCUGGCGGUAGGCCUAACACAUGCAAGUCGAACGGCAGCACAGUAAGAGCUUGCUCUUACGGGUGGCGAGUGGCGGACGGGUGAGGAAUACAUCGGAAUCUACUUUUUCGUGGGGGAUAACGUAGGGAAACUUACGCUAAUACCGCAUACGAUCUACGGGUGAAAGCAGGGGAUCUUCGGACCUUUCGCGAUUGAAUGAGCCGAUGUCGGAUUAGCUAGUUGGCGGGGUAAAGGCCCACCAAGGCGACGAUCCGUAGCUGGUCUGAGAGGAUGAUCAGCCACACUGGAACUGAGACACGGUCCAGACUCCUACGGGAGGCAGCAGUGGGGAAUAUUGGACAAUGGGCGCAAGCCUGAUCCAGCCAUACCGCGUGGGUGAAGAAGGCCUUCGGGUUGUAAAGCCCUUUUGUUGGGAAAGAAAAGCAGCAGGUUAAUACCCCGCUGUUCUGACGGUACCCAAAGAAUAAGCACCGGCUAACUUCGUG